This 928-nucleotide unclassified non-coding RNA is filed under the name Hevea brasiliensis (rubber tree). The record is from RNAcentral. Lineage: Eukaryota; Viridiplantae; Streptophyta; Magnoliopsida; Malpighiales; Euphorbiaceae.
AACCCUUCAGCUCCUCUUGACACAGUCUUCCUUCUCAGUUGCGGAUUUUGCACAGGCUUUGGCGCUGCUGUUAAUGUUGCUAAACCUCCAAAGGGCUCAACAGUAGCUGUCUUUGGAUUAGGAGCUGUAGGCCUUGCUGCUGCUGAAGGGGCCAAGUUUUCUGGGGCUUCCAGGAUUAUUGGCGUUGAUGUGAACCCUAAUAGAUUGGAACAAGCAAAGAAGUUUGGCGUAACCGAGUUUGUGAAUCCAAAAGAUCACAACAAGCCAGUUCAUGAGGUACUUGUUGAAAUGACAAAUGGAGGUGUAGACACAAGCAUAGAAUGCACAGGAAAUAUUCAGGCCAUGAUUUCAGCAUUUGAAAGUGUCCAUGAUGGCUGGGGGGUGGCUGUUCUUGUGGGGUUUCCUGGCAAAGAUGAUGUCUUCAAGACUCAUCCCCUCAAUUUCUUGACAGAAAGGACUCUCAAGGGUACUUUCUAUGGGAACUUCAAGCCCCGGACUGACAUCCCUUUACUUGUGGAGAAGUACAUGAACAAAGAGAUCGAACUUGAAAAGUUCAUCACUCAUUCAGUACCAUUCUCAGAGAUCAACACAGCUUUUGAUUUAAUGCUUAAAGGAGAAGGCAUUCGAUGUCUCAUUCGAAUGGAGGAGUAGACUAGAUGGCUUCAAGCAUCUCAGGCAGUCUCCUUUAUGAUAAGAAAAAAUAAUUAUAAUGAACAAUAAAAGGCUGUUGUAGUUAUAGUCUCUAUAAGGUCAACAUUCCUGUGUCAAAUAACAAAACUUGUUGGAAACAUCAGAGUUCUCCAUUUCUAGUUUUGCAAAUGUAAUUUCAAGUUUGGUUCUUGCUGUAAAUUUUAAAACCUUUUAAGGAGAAGGAGAUAAGAUUGAGCUUGUAACCACCUAAAUUAAAAAUUAAUAUGCUUCAUCAUUG